CCGCCCGCUUCCGCCUCUGCGAGGAGCGCUCCGGUCGCUCAGCCGCGCUCCCCACGGCGCUCAGUCGGGCGAAGCCCUAACGGGUCAUAACGGGGCUUUCGUCGGGACGUGAUCGUCCGCCCUUGCCCGGGCCGAGCUCUGCGUGCUCGGAGGUCUCUAGCACAGGAAAACAAAAGCGUGUUCGUACAGAAUGUAAACUGACACUUCUGUUAGCACAGCAAACCAGUGAUCAGUAUCCAUGCCAGAAUUUCAGGUGCAAAUGGAGUAUUUUCCAUGGACCUGCUACAAGCCAUGCACUACAGACUCAAUCCAUGGACUGCAAGUUAGCAUUUGGCAUUGUACUAAAGCUCCCAGUCUGUUCUGCAGUGGGGGCCAAGCUUCAUGGAAAAUCCUCCCUCAUGCUUGUGUCUACAUAUUUGCCAUCCUAU
Long non-coding RNA from Pipra filicauda (Wire-tailed manakin), 428 nucleotides. RefSeq lists it as uncharacterized. Lineage: Eukaryota; Metazoa; Chordata; Aves; Passeriformes; Pipridae. The record is from RefSeq and is a predicted model, not a curated record. The transcript has 3 exons.